Molecule: ribosomal RNA, 253 nt
Filed under: uncultured bacterium
Lineage: Bacteria
Description: partial 16S ribosomal RNA
Rfam family: Bacterial small subunit ribosomal RNA
Source: RNAcentral
UACGAAGGGGGCUAGCGUUGUUCGGAAUUACUGGGCGUAAAGCGCGCGCAGGCGGUCCUUCAAGUCAGAGGUGAAAGCCCAGAGCUCAACUCUGGAAUGGCCUUUGAGACUAGAGGACUUGGGUAAGGGAGAGGUGAGUGGAAUUCCGAGUGUAGAGGUGAAAUUCGUAGAUAUUCGGAAGAACACCAGUGGCGAAGGCGGCUCACUGGCCCGUUACCGACGCUCAGGGGCGAAAGCGUGGGGAGCAAACCGG